UUGAACGCUGGCGGCAGGCCUCACCCAUGCCAGUCGAGCGGAUGAAGGGAGCUUGCUCCUGGAUUCAGCGGCGGACGGGUGAGUAAUGCCUAGGAAUCUGCCUGGUAGUGGGGGAUAACGUCCGGAAACGGGCGCUAAUACCGCAUACGUCCUGAGGGAGAAAGUGGGGGAUCUUCGGACCUCACGCUAUCAGAUGAGCCUAGGUCGGAUUAGCUAGUUGGUGGGGUAAAGGCCUACCAAGGCGACGAUCCGUAACUGGUCUGAGAGGAUGAUCAGUCACACUGGAACUGAGACACGGCCCAGGCUCCUACGGGAGGCAGCAGUGGGGAAUAUGGGACAAUGGGCGAAAGCCUGAUCCAGCCAUGCCGCGUGUGUGAAGAAGGUCUUCGGAUUGUAAAGCACUUUAAGUUGGGAGGAAGGGCAGUAAGUUAAUACCUUGCUGUUUUGACGUUACCAACAGAAUAAGCACCGGCUAACUUCGUG
Molecule: ribosomal RNA, 483 nt
Filed under: uncultured bacterium
Lineage: Bacteria
Description: partial 16S ribosomal RNA
Rfam family: Bacterial small subunit ribosomal RNA
Source: RNAcentral